Molecule: ribosomal RNA, 301 nt
Filed under: uncultured bacterium
Lineage: Bacteria
Description: partial 16S ribosomal RNA
Rfam family: Bacterial small subunit ribosomal RNA
Source: RNAcentral
CAGCCGCCACGGGAAUACGUAGGGUGCAGGCGUUAAUCGGAAUUACUGGGCGUAAAGCGUGCGCAGGCGGUUAUAUAAGUCAGAUGUGAAAUCCCCGGGCUCAACCUGGGAACUGCAUUUGAGACUGUAUGGCUAGAGUGUGUCAGAGGGGGGUAGAAUUCCACGUGUAGCAGUGAAAUGCGUAGAUAUGUGGAGGAAUACCGAUGGCGAAGGCAGCCCCCUGGGAUAACACUGACGCUCAUGCACGAAAGCGUGGGGAGCAAACAGGAUUAGAUACCCGCGUAGUCCCUGUCUCUUAUAC